UGAAUUGUUGUCAGGUCCACCAUCUGAUCUAUUGUCUGAUUUUUUGCGUGUUUCUCUUCAGAUUCCGUAAAUUCACAAAUAUCUUUUCUUUUUUUGUUGUCAAUUUUCAUACGUAUCUUUCACAUGCUAUGAAAUGGUAUAAUUAAUUUGCUCCAUUUAUCAUAUAUAUACAUGUUACGAUAUUUGUAUUUUUAUGAGUUUGAAUGGGAGAGAUUGCAAAGUUGAAAAGAACAACCGAAACCUAACUUUCUCUCGAAUAAACACAAAACCAGCUGCCGUCCAUUCAGAUCUGAUUUUCGUUUGCCCUUUCCGGUGACCGGCACUCCUCGCCGCAGCCGUGAGAAGGCUGUGACGGUGGUUCUUCUCGGCGAGCUUUGGAGACAUGGCAGGGUUAGAUGGAAUCGAUUUGGUUGUUUCAAUACUAGGCUGGUUCAGACUGGUUCAGUUUCAGAGAUGGUGUCGUUUACCUUUUCUUCUUCUCCCAUGGUAAGGGAUGUGGAAAAGGCAAUAUCUUCCCGGAAUUAGUUGAUUAGGUUUCGUAUUGUCUCUGACUGUUUUGGAUAGAAGUUGAGGUUCCCAGUUUAUGCUUGUUUGAUGAACAAACGAAUCUUCGUCGUGGUGAUUGUCAGGCCUACAAGUUCUUAUGUGUCCUUUAGAGUUCUCUUUGGGUUCAUUAUGGUUCGAUCUUCCGCUGUCAUUGAUUGUGAUUGGUGGUACCCAGUUUGGAUUGUUCGCUCCUUGUCUCUGCUUUCCAGAUCUGAUCGAGAUCUGGUCCUAUGGGUUUUGCUUCUACCUAGGUGCAAAAAAGUCGCCUUGUAUACGACGUCGCCGUAUCCGGAAGAAAGUGUGAAGAACUAUGAGUGGUUCUGUCUUUGCGGAUUAUGAAAAUUAGAAUAGGAGUCCUGUUACUUUUAGGCAGUCUCUUAGAGGAGGAAUGAAUUUUUGAAGGUUAGCCGAGGGCAUCUUCGAUUUGUACAAGCAAAGGAUCUCUUAAAGUUAGCAUUCUUUGUUGGGCUUGGUAUAAUUCUUUCUUUGUGAGGUUUUCGUUUUGGUAUGUUUUUAUUAUGGGUUUCUCCUUCGAUCUUUGUAAUAGUCUUGUUUUCCAGUUGUUAGUUUCCCUUAGAUUUUGGGGAUAUCUUGUUCUUCGGUCGACUUUAGACUCCAGAAAUAUCAUGUUUUUCCGCCGGUUUAUGUUGUAAUUCAAAGUUGUAAUGGUUUUAAAUUUCAAUAAUAAAAUUUUAGAUGACAAAAAAAA
Molecule: non-coding RNA, 1255 nt
Organism: Camelina sativa (false flax)
Lineage: Eukaryota; Viridiplantae; Streptophyta; Magnoliopsida; Brassicales; Brassicaceae
Source: RefSeq, a predicted model, not a curated record